Molecule: ribosomal RNA, 400 nt
Filed under: uncultured bacterium
Lineage: Bacteria
Description: bacterial SSU rRNA
Rfam family: Bacterial small subunit ribosomal RNA
Source: RNAcentral
GGGGAAUAUUGCACAAUGGGCGAAAGCCUGAUGCAGCAACGCCGCGUGGAGGAUGAAGGCCUUCGGGUUGUAAACUCUUGUCUUCUGGGACGAUAAUGACGGUACCUGAGGAGGAAGCCACGGCUAAUUACGUGCCAGCAGCCGCGGUAACACGUAGGUGGCAAGCGUUGUCCGGAUUUACUGGGCGUAAAGGAUGCGUAGGCGGAUAUUUAAGUGGGAUGUGAAAUACCCGAGCUCAACUUGGGUGCUGCAUUCCAAACUGGAUAUCUAGAGUGCGGGAGAUGAAAGUGGAAUUCCUAGGGUAGCGGUGAGGUGCGUAGUGAUUAGGAAGAACACCAGUGGCGAAGGCGACUCUCUGGACCGUAACUGACGCUGAGGCAUGAAAGCGUGGGGAGCAAAC